AUACGGAGGGUGCAAGCGUUACUCGGAAUCACUGGGCGUAAAGCGCGCGCAGGCGGUCUUUUAAGUUGGAUGUGAAAGCCUACGGCUCAACCGUAGAACUGCAUCCAAAACUAUUUAGCUAGAGUGAGGGAGAGGAAGAUGGAAUUAGUUGUGUAGGGGUAAAAUCCGUAGAGAUAACUAGGAAUACCAAAAGCGAAGGCAAUCUUCUGGAACACUACUGACGCUGAGGCGCGAAAGCGUGGGGAGCAAACAGGAUUAGAAACCCUAGUAGUCC
RNAcentral lists this ribosomal RNA (274 nucleotides) under uncultured bacterium. RNAcentral's name for it is "partial 16S ribosomal RNA". It matches the Rfam family "Bacterial small subunit ribosomal RNA", at positions 523 to 796 of the family's 1533-position model. The record is from RNAcentral.